Non-coding RNA from Electrophorus electricus (electric eel), 162 nucleotides. NCBI's taxonomy places the organism in Eukaryota, Metazoa, Chordata, Actinopteri, Gymnotiformes, Gymnotidae. The record is from RefSeq and is a predicted model, not a curated record.
GCAUUUUGGCACAUGGAUUAACUACAUCUGCACAGUCAUACAAUCUGCACCUACCGGAGCCCCCAUUGAGCCUGAACCAGGAGAUGGAGAUGCACUCGAAGAACACCAGAAAAAGAAGACACAUCCCACUGGCAGAGUAAUAAUCAAAGAGCUUGAAGACAU